RNAcentral lists this ribosomal RNA (505 nucleotides) under Enterococcus faecalis. RNAcentral describes it as "bacterial SSU rRNA". It matches the Rfam family "Bacterial small subunit ribosomal RNA", at positions 1027 to 1533 of the family's 1533-position model. The record is from RNAcentral. Lineage: Bacteria; Bacillati; Bacillota; Bacilli; Lactobacillales; Enterococcaceae.
CUGGUGUACAGGUGGUGCAUGGUUGUCGUCAGCUCGUGUCGUGAGAUGUUGGGUUAAGUCCCGCAACGAGCGCAACCCUUGUCUUAUGUUGCCAGCAUUUGGUUGGGGACUCAUGAGAGACUGCCGGGGUCAACUCGGAGGAAGGUGGGGAUGACGUCAAAUCAUCAUGCCCCUUAUGUCCAGGGCUUCACACAUGCUACAAUGGUCGGUACAACGCGCAGCGACACUGUGAGGUGGAGCGAAUCGCUGAAAGCCGGCCUUAGUUCGGAUUGGGGUCUGCAACUCGACCCCAUGAAGUCGGAGUCGCUAGUAAUCGCAGAUCAGCAACGCUGCGGUGAAUACGUUCCCGGGCCUUGUACACACCGCCCGUCACGUCAUGAAAGUUGGUAACACCCGAAGCCGGUGGCCCAAACUUGUUAGGGAGCCGUCGAAGGUGGGAUCGGCGAUUGGGACGAAGUCGUAACAAGGUACCCGUACCGGAAGGUGCGGGUGGAUCACCUCCUUU